Non-coding RNA from Ictidomys tridecemlineatus (thirteen-lined ground squirrel), 72 nucleotides. The record is from Rfam. NCBI's taxonomy places the organism in Eukaryota, Metazoa, Chordata, Mammalia, Rodentia, Sciuridae.
UGGGGUGUAGCUCCGUGGUACAGUGCUUGCCUAGCAUGCAUGAGGCCCUGGGUUCAAUCCCCAGCACUUCUC